Molecule: ribosomal RNA, 429 nt
Filed under: bacterium
Lineage: Bacteria
Description: partial 16S ribosomal RNA
Rfam family: Bacterial small subunit ribosomal RNA
Source: RNAcentral
UAGGGAAUCUUCCACAAUGGACGCAAGUCUGAUGGAGCAACGCCGCGUGAGUGAAGAAGGUUUUCGGAUCGUAAAGCUCUGUUGUUGGUGAAGAAGGAUAGAGGUAGUAACUGGCCUUUAUUUGACGGUAAUCAACCAAAAAGUCACGGCUAACUACGUGCCAGCAGCCGCGGUAAUACGUAGGUGGCAAGCGUUGUCCGGAUUUAUUGGGCGUAAAGCGAGCGCAGGCGGAAGAAUAAGUCUGAUGUGAAAGCCCUCGGCUUAACCGAGGAACUGCAUCGGAAACUGUUUUUCUUGAGUGCAGAAGAGGAGAGUGGAAUUCCAUGUGUAGCGGUGGAAUGCGUAGAUAUAUGGAAGAACACCAGUGGCGAAGGCGACUCUCUGGUCUGCAACUGACGCUGAGGCUCGAAAGCAUGGGUAGCGAACAGG